AUCGCUUCUCGGCCUUUUGGCUAAGAUCAAGUGUAGAAACUUUAUAAUUUGAUUUAAUUCUACUUGUUGAUUCUUGUUUAAUUGGGGUUUUGUUCAAAAUGUCCUUGCCUACAUCUA
RNAcentral lists this small nuclear RNA (117 nucleotides) under Fukomys damarensis (Damara mole-rat). Its description in RNAcentral is "U2 spliceosomal RNA". It matches the Rfam family "U2 spliceosomal RNA". Rfam says of the family: U2 is a small nuclear RNA (snRNA) component of the spliceosome (involved in pre-mRNA splicing). The record is from Rfam by way of RNAcentral. Lineage: Eukaryota; Metazoa; Chordata; Mammalia; Rodentia; Bathyergidae.